UGCAGUUGUUGUGAGACAACACUCAACAGCACAAUUAUGCAACCCUGAUUUACACCACUAACCCAACAUGACAUGCACGAUCGAUUGUUCUGUAAAUAAAUGUUAAAAUACACUCACCUUGUCGUAAUCAUUAGCAGCAUUGUUGUAAUUGAUAUUGCUUCAACUGCUCUUCGGUACAUUCUCUAGGCAUUGCCUGUGACGAAAAUGUGAGAAGUUUAGCGCUCAUGAUUGAGUUCUUGCUGUAAAGACAGGGGUAAUGUAAAGCUAAUGUAAAGCUCUUCAGGAGAUUUUUAAUGCUAAUGAUGCUAAACCAGGCAACGAGACCUCCUUUACCGUUGGGAUUUACGNNNNNNNNNNNNNNNNNNNNGGGGGGAGAAGGAGGAGGAUGCCGCCUGCCUACAGCAUGCAAAUAGCAAAAAGCGGGAAGUACAAUGGGGAACAACAUAUUGUCGGAUUGUAUACAUCACGUAUGUGUAGGAUAAACCCUGAGAAGGAGGGAUAUAUGUCAGAUAAUGACCCGAAGACACGCAGUGUCCGAGGGCAUUAUAUCUGACAUAAAUCACGACUUUCGAGGUGUUUAUCAUAUUUAAUUCAUCAUUGAGGAGGUUUUCCAACAAAGUUUUGUCUGUUUCGUCUGCUUUGAACGACGAUUUUCUGAGUUUUCCUUCAUCUUUUCAGCAGGGCAUUUUUUAAG
Molecule: long non-coding RNA, 694 nt
Filed under: Paramuricea clavata
Lineage: Eukaryota; Metazoa; Cnidaria; Anthozoa; Malacalcyonacea; Plexauridae
Source: RNAcentral